Long non-coding RNA from Oncorhynchus tshawytscha (Chinook salmon), 735 nucleotides. Lineage: Eukaryota; Metazoa; Chordata; Actinopteri; Salmoniformes; Salmonidae. The record is from Ensembl.
GCUGGGGGCAUAGUAACUACAGGCUGGGGGCAUAGUAACUAGAGGCUGGGGGCAUAGUAACUAAAGGCAUAGUAACUAAAGGCUGGGGGCAUAGUAACUAGAGGCUGGGGGCAUAGUAACUAGAGGCUGGGGGCAUAGUAACUAAAGGCUGGGGGCAUAGUAACUAGAGGCUGGGGGCAUAGUAACUAAAGGCUGGGGGCAUAGUAACUAAAGGCAUAGUAACUAGAGGCUGGGGGCAUAGUAACUAAAGACUGGGGGCAUAGUAACUAAAGGCUGGGGACAUAGUAACUAAAGGCUGGGGGCAUAGUAACUAAAGGCUGGGGGCAUAGUAACUAAAGACUGGGGACAUAGUAACUACAGGCUGGGGCAUAGUAACUAAAGGCUGGGGGCAUAGUAACUAGAGGCUGGGGGCAUAGUAACUAAAGACUGGGGACAUAGUAACUAGAGGCUGGGGGCAUAGUAACUAGAGGCUGGGUGCAUAGUAACUAAAGACUGGGGACAUAGUAACUAAAGGCUGGGGGCAUAGUAACUAGAGACUGUCUCUCUAUGCCUCAUGGUCCUAGGUUUUGGGGUAGUUAAAAGGCCAGAGGAUCUGAGGGACCUACUGGGUACAUAACAUAAAGCAUGUCUGAUAGGUAUUGAGCUGCACAAUGGUGGAUUGAUUUAAAAACCAAUAGUGGAAUCCUAAAAUGAAUUCUAACACUCUCAGGCAGCCAGUGCAGAGACCUUAACACC